Molecule: ribosomal RNA, 336 nt
Filed under: Triticum aestivum (bread wheat)
Lineage: Eukaryota; Viridiplantae; Streptophyta; Magnoliopsida; Poales; Poaceae
Description: partial small subunit ribosomal RNA
Source: RNAcentral
AUGUAUAGAAAAAAUUGGACCCCGAUAACCACCGACCAUUCGGUCUGGGGACAUCCCAAACCGAACCUUUUGUUCGGUAAAUCAGCUCCCUCGCGACGAACGUUUUUGUUCGAUCGAAAGAGCUCUCCUUCCCAAACGACCUCGCUCCCUCCCCUCCAACGGACCAGCCCAGCCCAGAAACACAAUUGCCUUCAAGAAUUAAAAACAAAUUACAAUAUUUGUAGGCCCCAAAACUGCCAUGUUUUUGUACAUAUUAAUUUGCCAUGGCAAGUUUGCCAUGUUUCUGAACAUAUUAAGUUGACAUGGCAAGUUUGGCAUGUUUUUGAACAUCUAUAA